This 301-nucleotide ribosomal RNA is filed under the name uncultured bacterium. Its description in RNAcentral is "partial 16S ribosomal RNA". It matches the Rfam family "Bacterial small subunit ribosomal RNA", at positions 509 to 807 of the family's 1533-position model. The record is from RNAcentral.
CAGCCGCCACGGGAAUACGAAGGGUGCAAGCGUUAAUCGGAAUUACUGGGCGUAAAGCGUGUGUAGGUGGUUGUUUAAGUCUGUCGUGAAAGCCCUGGGCUCAACCUGGGAAUUGCGAUGGAUACUGGGCGACUAGAGUGCGGUAGAGGAUAGUGGAAUUUCCGGUGUAGCAGUGAAAUGCGUAGAGAUCGGAAGGAACAUCUGUGGCGAAGGCGACUAUCUGGGCCAACACUGACACUGAGACACGAAAGCGUGGGGAGCAAACAGGAUUAGAUACCCCCGUAGUCCCUGUCUCUUAAAC